GNAUGGGGGAACCCUGAUGCAGCGACGCCGCGUGGAGGAAGAAGGUUUUCGUGNCANUNAAACUCCNGGGCGUUAGGGACGAUAAUGACGGUACCUAACANNNAAGCACCGGCUAACUACGUGCCAGCAGCCGCGGUAAAACGUAGGGUGCAAGCGUUGUCCGGAAUUACUGGGUGUAAAGGGAGCGCAGGCGGGAAGACAAGUUGGAAGUGAAAACCAUGGGCUCAACCCAUGAAUUGCUUUCAAAACUGUUUUUCUUGAGUAGUGCAGAGGUAGAUGGAAUUCCCGGUGUAGCGGUGGAAUGCGUAGAUAUCGGGAGGAACACCAGUGGCGAAGGCGGUCUACUGGGCACCAACUGACGCUGAGGCUCGAAAGCAUGGGUAGCAAACAGGAUUAGAUACCCUGGUAGUCCAAGGGCGAAUUC
Molecule: ribosomal RNA, 424 nt
Filed under: uncultured bacterium
Lineage: Bacteria
Description: SSU rRNA
Rfam family: Bacterial small subunit ribosomal RNA
Source: RNAcentral